Long non-coding RNA from Leopardus geoffroyi (Geoffroy's cat), 179 nucleotides. RefSeq lists it as uncharacterized. The transcript has 3 exons. The record is from RefSeq and is a predicted model, not a curated record. NCBI's taxonomy places the organism in Eukaryota, Metazoa, Chordata, Mammalia, Carnivora, Felidae.
UAUUUUUGUUUCCCUUCCCUUAGGUUCAUCUGUUGUGUUUCUCAAAUUCCACAUAUUAACGAAAUCAUAUGAUACCUAUCUUUAUCUAACUUAUUUCACUUAGCAUAAUACCCUCCAAUUCCAUCCAUGUUGUUGCAAAUGGCAAUAUUUCAUUCUUUUUGAUUACCAAGCAGUAUUCC